This 539-nucleotide long non-coding RNA is filed under the name Mytilus galloprovincialis (Mediterranean mussel). Lineage: Eukaryota; Metazoa; Mollusca; Bivalvia; Mytilida; Mytilidae. The record is from RNAcentral.
GGUUUUUCAUCGUUUUGAGGAGUGAUAAUAUCUUCGAUGUAUUGCUAAUACGCAUUUCGUUGUUUUCUUUGUACAUCUUUCUUUAGGGCUUUAUAUUCUUCUUUUACUUUAGGAUCUUGUGAUUUCUUCAUUCUUUUGUAGAGUCGUUGUUGUCUUUUUGUCAGCUUUUUCAGAUUACCAUUUAUCCAUGGGUGUUUAUUUUUCUUCUUGGAUUUUUUGUGUGGUAUAUGAUCUUUUAUUCCUUUGAGCAGAGCAUUCUUUAUUCUUACCCACAUUUCCUUUGCAUUUAUAAUUUUAGAUCUGUACAUUUGACUCAGUUGUUUAUGUAGUGCUGUAAGGUCUUCUUUGAAACCUUCCCAAUUUGCUUUCUUAUAUUGUGGUAUGAGUCUUUCUUGUUCCUUAAAUGUGAUGGUAUUCAUGUCAAACUCUGUGAAGACCAUAUCAUGGUCUGAUAUACCCGGGAGGACAUCUACCCUCUGAACUAGACUUGGUGAAUUAGUGAGAAUGAGAUCUAGUGUGUUUUCUUUCCUUGUAUUUUC